GCCCUGUUGGCUCAGUUGGUUAGAGCGCAGGUCUCAUACUUCUGUAUGACGAAUGUCCGCAUUCGGUAAUCCUGAGGUCGCAAGUUCGAGUCUUGCACAGGGCA
RNAcentral lists this transfer RNA (104 nucleotides) under Leucogyrophana mollusca. RNAcentral's name for it is "tRNA-Met". It matches the Rfam family "tRNA". Rfam says of the family: Transfer RNA (tRNA) molecules are approximately 80 nucleotides in length. Their secondary structure includes four short double-helical elements and three loops (D, anti-codon, and T loops). The record is from RNAcentral. Lineage: Eukaryota; Fungi; Basidiomycota; Agaricomycetes; Boletales.